CAAAUUUCCCAUCCCCACGUGCAGAGGGAGGGGCUGCCUCGUUUCACAGCAAAAUGACACAAACCCUGAGCUGGGGCAGGGGGAAAACCUCAGGUUCCUUCUCAGGUGGAGAAAUAAAAAUAAACCCAUCCUGGAGAACCCUCUGUGCAGCAGAACCCCCCCAGGUACAUCAUGGCAGGGAAACCCAGGAGUGGGAAAGCUUUUCCAAGGAGGCUUCUCUUCCGGUACAGAUGAUG
Long non-coding RNA from Pipra filicauda (Wire-tailed manakin), 236 nucleotides. RefSeq lists it as uncharacterized. The transcript has 2 exons. NCBI's taxonomy places the organism in Eukaryota, Metazoa, Chordata, Aves, Passeriformes, Pipridae. The record is from RefSeq and is a predicted model, not a curated record.